UUCACGUACUGGAUCUUGAGGUAAACGAUGCCAUGAAA
RNAcentral lists this small RNA (38 nucleotides) under Arabidopsis thaliana (thale cress). Its description in RNAcentral is "ATSL291400". Lineage: Eukaryota; Viridiplantae; Streptophyta; Magnoliopsida; Brassicales; Brassicaceae. The record is from RNAcentral.